CGUGUUGUGGAUUUGUUUGUUUAUUUAUUUAUUUUUUUGACAUGUGUACCAAACGUACAAAAUUGUCUAAUUGAAGUUCAUCAAUAAAUUAAUACGAUUAUUUAAAAUUAAAAAAAAACAAAGGAACAAUUGAGUUUUUUUAGAAUUUACUUAAAAUGAGGCCAAAAAGAAGAUGUGCUUCGAAAGACCAACAAAUCUCUAAGGAUGGUGACAAGAAUAAAAACAAAGUUGUCAUCAAUUCACUGGUUCAUGACUCGUUAGCAAAAAUCAUCAUGUUGUUGCCAAUACCAGAACGGAUAGACAUGGAAGAAGUUUGUACUAAAUGGAAAGAGGCAUCUCAACUCGCUUGGUAUGACAUUAA
Molecule: long non-coding RNA, 361 nt
Organism: Aphidius gifuensis
Lineage: Eukaryota; Metazoa; Arthropoda; Insecta; Hymenoptera; Braconidae
Exons: 3
Source: RefSeq, a predicted model, not a curated record